AGACUUCGUUACAUCCCCCCUGGUUCGGAAAAAUUCAAGUUACGGUGAAACAGAAAUUUGAAUUCUAAAAACAAACAAAAAAAAAAAAAAAUAACCGAAUACUAUCCUGUCUUAUUACGCGGGAUAUAUGGGAAGUACGGGUCUGACUGUUACGUUACGCUAUCAAAGACUAUAAUGUUGUAGUAGACAGUAUGACAUAUAAAAAUAAAACUUUGCUCUAUGAAUCGAUGUCAAAUUCAAACGUCGUCUUCUUUCUUCUGUCAUCCGGGGUGAUUUGAAUGUUUGGAAAUUUCUUCAUCUCGGGGUUGUGAAGUAGAACUCAUUCCCAUUUCCAUGAAGUUUCCAAGUGUCGGUGAAAUAAUCUGAUGUCAGGUGUGGAUUAUCCCAUUCUCCGAGGGACGUCGAAGUUCCCACUCAGAUGAGUCGAAACCAUUCCAAACCCAUUGAUAUACUGGUUGAUUUACCUGUGGAUAUUACAAGGAAUCAGUGACUGUAUGGUGAAAUUUUCAGAACGGUGAAAAUUCUUCCAGUUAUACAGUUUAAAUUAUCUAUAGGAAAAUUGAAAUGGAAUCCAAAUGUCCACCAGAGUAAUGAUUGACAGGCCAUGAUGUCCAACUCUUCUAGUACUUCUUCCUUGGAUGAUGACAUGAAUAAAUCUUCAGGAAUCACUGAUUACAUGUCUUCGGUGGAAUUGGGCUUACAGCUGAUCAUCCGAUGAAAGGUGUGUUGCCUAUCUCCAGCAUUUAUUCUCAUCGGUGUUGCAGUAUGGGAGACCUGGGCAGUUGGCAGUGGGAGUUCAUCAUCUUCCAAAUCUAUCAGUGAUGUCUUCAGUUGUGCAACCUUGGUUGGUUGAAUGGGAGACAUCUCAGGCGACUGUGGAAUCUCUGCCUCCA
Molecule: long non-coding RNA, 893 nt
Organism: Harmonia axyridis
Lineage: Eukaryota; Metazoa; Arthropoda; Insecta; Coleoptera; Coccinellidae
Exons: 3
Source: RefSeq, a predicted model, not a curated record